Molecule: long non-coding RNA, 2253 nt
Filed under: Linum usitatissimum (flax)
Lineage: Eukaryota; Viridiplantae; Streptophyta; Magnoliopsida; Malpighiales; Linaceae
Description: long non-coding RNA (LUSI_LNC008088)
Source: RNAcentral
ACGCAGCACAAAAUGAGAGUCUCCCGCUUCGUUUGGUUGUACAAGUUCUCUUCUUUGAGCAGGUCAGAGCAGCAGCAGCAGCAGCUAAUGGUCAAAGCCUCAACCACAACCUGAAUUACACUUCGAAUGCGACGAAAAACACAGAGGAAGGUUGCGAAGUCCUGGAGAAGCAAAUGAGCGUGAAAUUGAAGGUAGCAACUGUUGAGGCUGAGGAGGAGGAAGAGGAGGAGCAGAGGAAUAUGAGGCUGAUGAAGAAAAACAGCAGCAAGAAUAGCAAAAGUGGAUUGCAGUUGCUACCAUCUCGUUCAAGGAGAAUAUUUGACAAGUUGUGGGGUGUUGGGAGGGGAGGGCAUGUAGUAGAGAGCAAGAGCUCUGAGACAUCUGGCAGCUCAGAGCUGAAUGUGCAUUCAUUCAUUGUCCUUUAUUUGGUGGAUAUAUUAAAUUUUGCUACCUCUUUUUCUGGAAAUUAUGACACGUGUGCUCUUCUUACAUGUAGGUAUGUUCCAUCCGAGCUGGCUACAGAUGUCACCAUUAAUGUUGGUGAAGUUAAAUUUUACCUCCACAAGGUAACUUCUUCAGUGCUUCUUCAAUAGCUGCUGAUAUGUUUGAAAUUCCGCCUUUUUAGAGUAGUUAGGACACAAGGCCUUUGAAAUAUGUGCUAAAUUCUGCUACGGAAUGACAGUCACUCUCAACGCAUACAAUGUCGUAGCUGCUCGAUGUGCAGCUGAGUACCUUGAGAUGACUGAGGAUGUCGAUUCAGGGAACCUGAUUUUCAAGAUUGAGGUGUUCCUCAACUCGAGCAUUUUCCGGAGCUGGAAAGAUUCUAUCAUUGUUCUUCAGACCACCAAGGCUCUAUUGCCCUGGUCUGAUGAGUUGAAGAUUGUUGGGAGAUGCAUUGAUUCCAUUGCAUCCAAGACUUCCAUUGACCCUUCCACUAUCACUUGGUCUUAUACUUACAAUAGGAAGCUGAAUGAUGCAGACAAUGAGAUACUACUAGAAGAUGAUGAUGACGUGCAUCGCAAGUUUCGAAAGAGAAACGGUCAUCAUCAUGGUGUUCCAAAGGAUUGGUGGGUUGAAGAUGCAUGUGAGCUGGAAAUUGACCUCUACAAGAGAGUAAUUCUUGCUGUCAAAUCGAAGGGUAGAAUGGACUGUAUGGUGAUGGGAGAGGCUCUUAAAUGUUAUGCUCUUCGAUGGCUUCCUGAUUCCUUAGAUGACUUGACUUGCGACGCAAGUAACUCGUGGCAUAAGUAUCUGGUGGAAACACUAAUCCAUCUUCUGCCCGCUGAAAAGGCUGGUGGUGGCUGUUCUUGUAGUUUCUUACUCAAAUUGUUGAAAGUCGCCAUCUUUGCUGGAGUUAAUGAUACCCUCAAGGAAGAUCUAGUGAAGAGGGCUGGUCUGAAGUUGCAGGAGGCUUCUGUUGAGGAUCUGUUGAUCCCGGCACAGUCGCCUCAGUCUACUACAAAGUACGAUGUUGAGUUGGUGAAGAGCCUUGUCAAUGAAUUCCUGACGAACGAAAAGCAUUUUGAGGAGUCGAGCAUUGAGAAGAAUGGUGGGGAAGUAGAAAGAUUCCUUUUCCCACCUGAGCAUAGGUCCUUGAUGCAUGUUGGCCAACUGAUUGAUGGCUACCUGGCUGAGAUUGCUCAUGAUGCCAAUGUUGGCCUCGAAAGCUUCAUGGACCUUUCUCGAUCUGUUCCGGAGCCUGCAAGGCCGAUUCAUGAUGGUCUUUACAUGGCGAUUGACAUCUACCUCAAGGCAAGCUAAUACUAUUAUAAUUGGUUACAUAACUUAGUAACUGGUUAUAAUCACAUGUAACUAGUUAUGAUAGGUUGUAACUGAUUAUAAUCCUAUUAUGUUCAUUUUUCCUUUCCAAAGUUAAAAAGUAAUUCAUGUGCUUACCCAUAAAAGGCGUUUCUUAUUAUUAUUAUUAUCAUUCAGGAGCAUCCAGGGUUGAGUAAGGUUGAAAGAAAGAAGAUGUGCAGCAUGUUGGAUGUUAAGAAGCUGACAAUGAAUGCUUCAAUGCACGCAGCACAAAAUGAGAGUCUCCCGCUUCGUUUGGUUGUACAAGUUCUCUUCUUUGAGCAGGUCAGAGCAGCAGCAGCAGCAGCUAAUGGUCAAAGCCUCAACCACAACCUGAAUUACACUUCGAAUGCGACGAAAAACACAGAGGAAGGUUGCGAAGUCCUGGAGAAGCAAAUGAGCGUGAAAUUGAAGGUAGCAACUGUUGAGGCUGAGGAGGAGGAAGAGGAGGAGCAG